RNAcentral lists this microRNA (22 nucleotides) under Gadus morhua (Atlantic cod). Its description in RNAcentral is "gmo-miR-458-5p". Its record names the gene gmo-miR-458-5p. The record is from miRBase by way of RNAcentral. Lineage: Eukaryota; Metazoa; Chordata; Actinopteri; Gadiformes; Gadidae.
AGCGCCAUUUCCAGAGUUAUCA